GCAACACUUGACUGAAUUUAAUGAUAUGCAUCUGAUUGUAAUUUUUCAAGAAAUAAACAAUAAUUUUUUUUUAUGAUCUAUAAAAAUUAUGCUUUGGCAAAUCUAAACAAAAUUUCACGAAAACAAAAUAUAAAUAUAUGGGCGGAGUCUUUUUGCCAUAUUUGGCGUGUUAACCUCUGAACUUGCAAUGCAUGUACACAACAGCCGCCAUUUCAAACUAAAACACGGUUGUGUGUUUGUUGACAGAUUGAGGUUUAGUGUGUAGAGAAAACCAAUUUGAACGAAUUUUGUAUAAACAGUCAUUUUUUUUCUUGUAAGUGAUAUUGUGAGUAUUAUCUCUAGUUUAU
This 347-nucleotide long non-coding RNA is filed under the name Mytilus galloprovincialis (Mediterranean mussel). Lineage: Eukaryota; Metazoa; Mollusca; Bivalvia; Mytilida; Mytilidae. The record is from RNAcentral.